AGUUCGGGACUCGUUUCGAUCGUCCGCUCGGAUUCUCCUCUCGGAGAUGUCGUCGGUUCGGUCGUCGUGUGCCGGCUCGUGAUGGGACGACGCGUGAGUGGCGACAGAGAUAUGUUCCGCGCAGGCUCCGUGCUUUUAGCAUCGAACUGCGUGGGCUUUUCUCCUUCAUUUGCGAGCUCGCGUUACCGCUUCCAGCGGCGGUCGUGUUCGCUCGUUUGGGUUCCUGCGUGUUAUAUCGGACUCGAUAUUGGGAAUGGCUUUUGUCCCGGCUCAUUUUGUGAUUCCUCCCCCGCUUCGUGCGGUGUCGGUGGCUAUUGUGUUUGUAUUGGCAAUCGUCGUACGAGUUGCGUCGUCGCUCGUGAUGGCUUUUGCCGAUGCAAUCGGCCUUCUCGGAUGCAGAGAAUUUCUGAUCGUCGCAUCGGUUAUCGGCCGUUGUGAGCGUAACGUUACUAAGCUUCGUCGCUUUUGUUUCAUGACCCUCGUUUUCCUCCGAGAGCUCACGGAGCUUUGAAGUUCUGUGUCGUGACCGGAGAGCGAACGAGGUCGAGGACGGAAUCUACCUGGUUGAU
This 569-nucleotide unclassified non-coding RNA is filed under the name Sonerila tenera. RNAcentral describes it as "partial contains external transcribed spacer and small subunit ribosomal RNA". The record is from RNAcentral. Lineage: Eukaryota; Viridiplantae; Streptophyta; Magnoliopsida; Myrtales; Melastomataceae.